AUGCUGCCAGCAAAUCUAUUGAUCAUGUCCAUGGCCGUCUUUUUGACAACAGCAGUUUCUACCGCUCCCUUGGAGGGUAAAAAAAGAGAAGCUAUGUUUUAUAUUUUAUCUCAUUUUAUUAUUUCUGUUUGGAAAGAAGACUUUCUGUGUGUCUUCCAGAGAAGGAGCUGGAGGAGGUGGAGGUUGAAGCUACAGAGGAGGGGGAGGUGUCUGAGGAGGAGGAGGGUAGGCCUGUGUGUGUGAGAGAAGCCAGCUUUUAUUGUGAAAAGCAGAUUCGUGUCAAAUUUUUCAUGAAGCAUAAACUCAGAGUUUAUACUGAUGACAAAAUUAAACCAAACUGAGGUCACACGAAUGGAACCUGACCCUCACACCAACCUCAGAGUGAACAACAUCGUAAUCGUCUGUGAUCUUUUAAAACCUGUUUAAACUUAUCAUAAAGACACAAACACGUCACACAUUUCAGUCACAAAGCUUUUUAAAAUAACUCUUGAGGCAAUGAGAUUCUUUCUUUAUUAAUGAAACACUAUGUAACCAUGACAUGAACUUAGGUAAUCAAUGUUUGCCAAAUAUUACCUGGUGUUGGUUCUUGGGGUUUGUUUGGGUGAGUGAAUGUGUGUGAGACAUUCUCAUUGACCUUUGAUCAGAGCGCCCCCCCUCUUUGGGUCCCUGUUCAAAGUACAGUGGGUGUGAGACUGUAGGGCUGACAGUGAAGGUUUGGAGAAGGUGGUGUUUGUUGUUUUUGAGAGAAAAAUGACAAAAUCCAACAGCUUUUUCACAGUACCAAGUCCUCAGAACUAUCUCUCAUUUGUGUACUAAAAUGUUUUUACUGACACAAACCACUACAUCUGGGUCAAGAUAAUAUGGGUUUUCUUUGUUUAUUGUUAAUUUGUUUGUAUUUGACUGAAUUUAUUUCAGUGUAACACCUGUAGGAUGCGUGGCCUCUGUCCAGUAAAUGAAAUAUUAGAAAUCAUAAAUCUCAGUGAAGCAGUGAGAGCAGCACAUGUGUUAAUGCUAAGCUAGGUGACAUACGUGCAUAUAGGAAAGUUCAGGAAGCCAGAGGGAAAGGUAGGAGGAGUCAGAGGUCAAAGGUCAGAGCAGAAAUAAAAAGACACUAAAACAGAGAAGUGUGACAUUUGUUUAAAACUUCUAAUUAGACAUAAAUGUUGGAUGUCUUCUCUUUCCAGAUGAUGAUGACUCCAAGAGUCAAGAUAAGAUUGAGGGUGAGAGGCAAAACACACUGUGACCUUUGCCCUGUAGCUUUAUCUUAUAAACCUGCAUAAACACAAAGAAAUGAAAAGUUCAAACAUCAGACUGUUGUUUAGAUGAACGUGACGUGAUA
Molecule: long non-coding RNA, 1339 nt
Filed under: Oreochromis niloticus (Nile tilapia)
Lineage: Eukaryota; Metazoa; Chordata; Actinopteri; Cichliformes; Cichlidae
Description: lncRNA (ENSONIG00000042175.1)
Source: RNAcentral